This 353-nucleotide unclassified non-coding RNA is filed under the name soil metagenome. RNAcentral's name for it is "partial contains 5.8S ribosomal RNA, internal transcribed spacer 2, and large subunit ribosomal RNA". The stretch from base 1 to 120 matches the Rfam family "5.8S ribosomal RNA", at positions 35 to 154 of the family's 154-position model. The record is from RNAcentral.
GAUGAAGAACGUAGCGAAAUGCGAUAAGUAAUGUGAAUUGCAGAAUUCAGUGAAUCAUCGAAUCUUUGAACGCACAUUGCGCCCGCCAGUAUUCUGGCGGGCAUGCCUGUUCGAGCGUCAUUACAACCCUCAGGCCCCCGGGCCUGGCGUUGGGGAUCGGCGGAAGCCCCCUGCGGGCACAACGCCGUCCCCCAAAUACAGUGGCGGUCCCGCCGCAGCUUCCAUUGCGUAGUAGCUAACACCUCGCAACUGGAGAGCGGCGCGGCCACGCCGUAAAACACCCAACUUCUGAAUGUUGACCUCGAAUCAGGUAGGAAUACCCGCUGAAUUUAAGCAUAUCAAUAAGCGGAGGA